Long non-coding RNA from Chinchilla lanigera (long-tailed chinchilla), 325 nucleotides. RefSeq lists it as uncharacterized. The record is from RefSeq and is a predicted model, not a curated record. Lineage: Eukaryota; Metazoa; Chordata; Mammalia; Rodentia; Chinchillidae. The transcript has 3 exons.
UCGUAUUCGCUACUAAGAGGUUGUGCCUAUUAUUUAUGUCCCAUACCACAGAGAUCUCAAAGUAUGGCAAGUCAAGAUUCAUGGAAAGAGCAAAGAGGUAAAUGUAGCAAACUGGAAGAGUUUCAUUAAAGAUAUGCACUGCAUGCAGAAUAUUGAACCAUUAUUGAAAAUAAAAUUGGACACGAGAUGCUUUGGACACAAUGAACUAGGGCAGACCCAGGCCUGGUGUGGGAUGAGUCCUGAGUUCCGAUCUCACUGGUGCUACUCCUAAGGGUUCUGAGUAUGUGGAUCAAAACCUUUCACUUCUUUGGGCUCCAAGGUUCCU